This 430-nucleotide ribosomal RNA is filed under the name uncultured bacterium. Its description in RNAcentral is "bacterial SSU rRNA". It matches the Rfam family "Bacterial small subunit ribosomal RNA", at positions 335 to 762 of the family's 1533-position model. The record is from RNAcentral.
ACUCCUACGGGAGGCAGCAGUGGGGAAUUUUGGACAAUGGGCGAAAGCCUGAUCCAGCAAUGCCGCGUGUGAGAAGGCCUUCGGGUUGUAAAGCACUUUUGUCCGGAAAGAAAUCCUUGGCUCUAAUACAGCCGGGGGAUGACGGUACCGGAAGAAUAAGCACCGGCUAACUACGUGCCAGCAGCCGCGGUAAUACGUAGGGUGCAAGCGUUAAUCGGAAUUACUGGGCGUAAAGCGUGCGCAGGCGGUUUGCUAAGACCGAUGUGAAAUCCCCGGGCUCAACCUGGGAACUGCAUUGGUGACUGGCAGGCUAGAGUAUGGCAGAGGGGGUAGAAUUCCACGUGUAGCAGUGAAAUGCUAGAGAUGUGGAGGAAUACCGAUGGCGAAGGCAGCCCCCUGGGCCAAUACUGACGCUCAUGCACGAAAGCGU